Molecule: long non-coding RNA, 76 nt
Filed under: Coturnix japonica (Japanese quail)
Lineage: Eukaryota; Metazoa; Chordata; Aves; Galliformes; Phasianidae
Description: lncRNA (ENSCJPG00005002587.1)
Source: RNAcentral
UUCGGAUCCCGGUUCAGAUCCCGGUUCGAUUCCCCCUUCAGUUCCAUCCCGUUCAGAUCCCGGUUCAGAUCCCGGU